UGAUCCCGCCUUGUUCUUUACCCUCAAGGCACUCCCUCGCUCCAUCAAGUUGAGCGGGACAGUGGGCUUUUCUAGCUUGCUAAUCAUUGCCCCCCUCACUGUAGGGAUAACUCUGGAAACCCUAUAUCCAAACUCUGGAAAUUCCAGCUCCUGCAAGAAGCCACCCCAGAUGGUUACUACAAGAACCAAGAACACCUGUAGCUAGUCUUCUAAAUCUCGGUGCCCAGUGUGGCCUGUCUACCACCCCUCCCCCACC
RNAcentral lists this long non-coding RNA (256 nucleotides) under Canis lupus dingo (dingo). RNAcentral's name for it is "lncRNA (ENSCAFG00020001716.1)". The record is from RNAcentral. Lineage: Eukaryota; Metazoa; Chordata; Mammalia; Carnivora; Canidae.